GCUACUCUCAUGCGGUAGUAUUUUCUCCAGCAGCAAGGUGGCUAUCAUAAGCUCCCGUUUAGCAUCGUGGGCGUCUUGCUCGAAGGCUAACCCACGGCUAAUUAGCUAGCUAACGAGCUAAUCUAACAAGAUACCUGUAGUGGCUCAACUUCAGUGACCGACUCUCAUAAUGCACUGCGGAAAAAUUGAGGAGGUAAAAGAGUUUCUGCGUGCCAGAGGGGUCCAGGAGGAAACCAUAUUCCAAAUGGCAGAACAAAAGCAUGAAUAAUUUGAGACGGCGUGGAGCCCAGAGAGCUGCAGAAACUUACAGGAGAAACCUCAGUGUGCUGGAAGUCCGAGGACUGAGGUAGAGAGGUCUUUCUAUGGGAGGAGGACAGCACCAGGCCUGAGGAAGGAAGACCUGCACCAGCUGUACAGAACCUGAGCCCAUACUGGACAUACAGUAGUUGUUACCACCUGCACAGGCCAAGUCUGUCUCUCUAUUUGACAAAAGGUUUUACUUAUACAUUUAAUAGGUUAACAUAUAGUUUACUUUUUGUCUAUCUUGUCCUUUUUUUCAAAACCUUUUUGAUAGUUCAUGUGUUAUAACUUCUGGUUCAAUACAUUUCAUUUGUAUCUGUACUUCUUUUGUCUUUUAUUGUUACUGAAAAUGUUAGAUUACACAUUCAAAUCUGACUGCAGAUUUGUGUGUGACAUUACAAAUUCCACGGUAAAAGGCACAAGUAUUGUAAAGAUUAUAUAGUGAGGCAAAUUUAAAUAAUAAUUUCUUCGAUUGUACAGUACAUUUUGAAAAAGCAAAAACAUAGGUGCAUUUGAUCAGCUGACCACACUUUCUCUGAUGUGCAACUUCAAACAAAUGAUGGUCCUGUUAGGCCCAAAAACUAUUCGUUGUGCAGAUCUUUGUUUUCACAAUAAAAGUGUAGUUUCUCAGUUCAUUUUAUUGGCCUUUAUUGGUCUUUUCAUUUUCCUCUUGGAUGUUCUUCUGGACCCUUGGAGACCCACUGAAAAUG
Eleginops maclovinus (Patagonian blennie) is the source of this 1010-nucleotide long non-coding RNA. RefSeq lists it as uncharacterized. Lineage: Eukaryota; Metazoa; Chordata; Actinopteri; Perciformes; Eleginopidae. The transcript has 3 exons. The record is from RefSeq and is a predicted model, not a curated record.